RNAcentral lists this ribosomal RNA (472 nucleotides) under uncultured bacterium. RNAcentral describes it as "bacterial SSU rRNA". It matches the Rfam family "Bacterial small subunit ribosomal RNA", at positions 328 to 793 of the family's 1533-position model. The record is from RNAcentral.
GCAGAGCACUCCUACGGGAGGCAGCAGUGGGGAAUAUUGGACAAUGGGCGAAAGCCUGAUCCAGCCAUGCCGCGUGUGUGAAGAAGGUCUUCGGAUUGUAAAGCACUUUAAGUUGGAGGAAGGGCAGUUACCUAAUACGUAAUUGUUUUGACGUUACCGACAGAAUAAGCACCGGCUAACUCUGUGCCAGCAGCCGCGGUAAUACAGAGGGUGCAAGCGUUAAUCGGAAUUACUGGGCGUAAAGCGCGCGUAGGUGGUUUGUUAAGUUGGAUGUGAAAUCCCCGGGCUCAACCUGGGAACUGCAUUCAAAACUGACUGACUAGAGUAUGGUAGAGGGGUGGUGGAAUUUCCUGUGUAGCGGUGAAAUGCGUAGAUAUAGGAAGGAACACCAGUGGCGAAGGCGACCACCUGGACUAAUACUGACACUGAGGUGCGAAAGCGUGGGGAGCAAACAGGAUUAGAUCCCUGGUAG